RNAcentral lists this ribosomal RNA (468 nucleotides) under uncultured bacterium. RNAcentral describes it as "partial 16S ribosomal RNA". It matches the Rfam family "Bacterial small subunit ribosomal RNA", at positions 28 to 507 of the family's 1533-position model. The record is from RNAcentral.
GACGAACGCUGGCGGCGUGCUUAACACAUGCAAGUCGAACGGAAAGGCCCUGCUUUUGUGGGGUGCUCGAGUGGCGAACGGGUGAGUAACACGUGAGUAACCUGCCCUUGACUUUGGGAUAACUUCAGGAAACUGGGGCUAAUACCGGAUAGGAGCUCCUGCUGCAUGGUGGGGGUUGGAAAGUUUCGGCGGUUGGGGAUGGACUCGCGGCUUAUCAGCUUGUUGGUGGGGUAGUGGCUUACCAAGGCUUUGACGGGUAGCCGGCCUGAGAUGGUGACCGGCCACAUUGGGACUGAGAUACGGCCCAGACUCCUACGGGAGGCAGCAGUGGGGAAUAUUGCACAAUGGGCGGAAGCCUGAUGCAGCAACGCCGCGUGCGGGAUGACGGCCUUCGGGUUGUAAACCGCUUCCGCCUGUGACGAAGCGUGAGUGACGGUAAUGGGUAAAGAAGCACCGGCUAACUACGUG